CAUUCAAUAUUGAAAUAUAUGAGGGUGUAAGACAUACAGAAGAUGCUGUUAGUGUAGAUAUGUUUGUUCAGGAAUGUUCGAACCUGGAAAGCAAUCCUAUAAUAUU
Sitophilus oryzae (rice weevil) is the source of this 106-nucleotide long non-coding RNA. RefSeq lists it as uncharacterized. NCBI's taxonomy places the organism in Eukaryota, Metazoa, Arthropoda, Insecta, Coleoptera, Curculionidae. The transcript is spliced from 2 exons. The record is from RefSeq and is a predicted model, not a curated record.